AGUGAACGCUGGCGGUAGGCCUAACACAUGCAAGUCGAACGGCAGCACAGGAGAGCUUGCUCUCUGGGUGGCGAGUGGCGGACGGGUGAGGAAUACAUCGGAAUCUACUUUUUCGUGGGGGAUAACGUAGGGAAACUUACGCUAAUACCGCAUACGACCUACGGGUGAAAGCAGGGGAUCUUCGGGCCUUGCGCGAUUGAAUGAGCCGACGUCGGAUUAGCUAGUUGGCGGGGUAAAGGCCCACCAAGGCGACGAUCCGUAGCUGGUCUGAGAGGAUGAUAAGCCACACUGGAACUGAGACACGGUCCGGACUCCUACGGGAGGCAGCAGUGGGGAAUAUUGGACAAUGGGCGCAAGCCUGAUCCAGCCAUACCGCGUGGGUGAAGAAGGCCUUCGGGUUGUAAAGCCCUUUUGUUGGGAAAGAAAUCCAGCUGGCUAAUACCCGGUUGGGAUGACGGUACCCAAAGAAUAAGCACCGGCUAACUUCGUGCCAGCCGCCGCCGUAA
This 506-nucleotide ribosomal RNA is filed under the name uncultured bacterium. RNAcentral describes it as "partial 16S ribosomal RNA". It matches the Rfam family "Bacterial small subunit ribosomal RNA", at positions 29 to 523 of the family's 1533-position model. The record is from RNAcentral.